GUACGGGAAAUAUCCUAGUGGUAUUUCUAGUGGCGGACGGGUGAGUAACGCGUAAGAACCUGCCCUUAGGAGGGGGACAACAGCUGGAAACGGUUGCUAAUACCCCAUAGGCUGAGGAGUAAAAGGAGGAAUCCGCCUAAGGAGGGUCUUGCGUCUGAUUAGCUAGUUGGUAAGGUAAUGGUUCACCAAGGCAACGAUCAGUAGCUGGUUUGAGAGGAUGAUCAGCCACACUGGGACUGAGACACGGCCCAGACUCUUACGGGAGGCAGCAGUGGGGAAUUUUCCGCAAUGGGCGAAAGCCUGGACGGACCAAUGCCGCGUGGAGGUAGAAGGCUCACGGGUUUGUAAACUCCUUUUCUCAGAGAAGAUGAGAUGACGGUAUCUGAGGAAUAAGCAUUGGCUAAAUCUGUG
This 411-nucleotide ribosomal RNA is filed under the name uncultured bacterium. RNAcentral's name for it is "bacterial SSU rRNA". It matches the Rfam family "Bacterial small subunit ribosomal RNA", at positions 64 to 507 of the family's 1533-position model. The record is from RNAcentral.